RNAcentral lists this ribosomal RNA (434 nucleotides) under uncultured bacterium. Its description in RNAcentral is "bacterial SSU rRNA". It matches the Rfam family "Bacterial small subunit ribosomal RNA", at positions 29 to 507 of the family's 1533-position model. The record is from RNAcentral.
AACGAACGCUGGCGGCAGGCCUAAUACAUGCAAGUCGAGCGCGCCCUUCGGGGUGAGCGGCGGACGGGUGAGUAACGCGUGGGAAUAUGCCCUUCUCUAAGGAAUAGCCUCUGGAAACGGAGAGUAAUACCUUAUACGCCCUUCGGGGGAAAGAUUUUAUCGGAGAAGGAUCGGCCCGCGUUAGAUUAGAUAGUUGGUGGGGUAACGGCCUACCAAGUCUACGAUCUAUAGCUGGUUUUAGAGGAUGAUCAGCAACACUGGGACUGAGACACGGCCCAGACUCCUACGGGAGGCAGCAGUGGGGAAUCUUAGACAAUGGGCGCAAGCCUGAUCUAGCCAUGCCGCGUGAGUGAUGAAGGCCUUAGGGUCGUAAAGCUCUUUCGCCUGUGAUGAUAAUGACAGUAGCAGGUAAAGAAACCCCGGCUAACUCCGUG